GUCCAGCGUCUUACCUGUUCAAUAUUUAGACUGACCAAACCCAUAGCUCUAAUACUGUCAGGUAAUGACGCUGGAU
Molecule: microRNA precursor, 76 nt
Organism: Caenorhabditis briggsae
Lineage: Eukaryota; Metazoa; Nematoda; Chromadorea; Rhabditida; Rhabditidae
Rfam family: mir-236 microRNA precursor family
Source: Rfam